RNAcentral lists this ribosomal RNA (245 nucleotides) under uncultured Eubacteriales bacterium. RNAcentral describes it as "uncultured Clostridiales bacterium partial 16S ribosomal RNA". It matches the Rfam family "Bacterial small subunit ribosomal RNA", at positions 524 to 768 of the family's 1533-position model. The record is from RNAcentral. Lineage: Bacteria; Bacillati; Bacillota; Clostridia; Eubacteriales.
UACGUAGGUGGCGAGCGUUAUCCGGAUUUACUGGGUGUAAAGGGUGUGUAGGCGGAGGAGCAAGUCAGAUGUGAAAUAUUAAGGCUCAACCUUGAUACUGCAUUUGAAACUGUUCCCCUUGAGUGUGGGAGAGGUAAGCGGAAUUCCCGGUGUAACGGUGAAAUGUGUAGAUAUCGGGAGGAAUACCGGUGGCGAAGGCGGCUUACUGGACCAUAACUGACGCUGAGACACGAAAGCGUGGGGAG